UGUGUUCACGGUGUGUGUGUGUUCACUGCUGUGUGUGUGUACUUUGGAUGGGUUAAAUGCAGAGAACAAAUUCUGAAUAUGGGUCACCGUACUUAGCCGUAUGUCACGUCACUUGUCACUUGAAAAGCCAGAUCACGUGGACAAGCUCAGAGAGCGGUAAAACGGGACGAUUUUUUUCAAAAGUGCUGCACGGAUUUCUUCAGCAACGUCACUAGAAGCCUAAGGUGAUGAGAAAGUUUGCAGUGGUCCAGUGGGGAGGAUGCUGGGAUGUAUAGCGAGGUGUAAACCGAUGCCAUAUGCAAAUAUGAUGACACCAAGAUGGAUGAGGAUGGAUACCCACAAACUGACUAUUCCGUUGCAGUGGAAUGGCAGAAGGAGAAAAAGCCAAAAUAUGGCUGGCCAGUGUAAGCUGCCUCUAUCAAGUUUGUGAGCAACAACCGAUUUCAAACUAAUGCAAAGAUUAAGGAAUUCCUGCGGUUGGACUCUGAUGAAAUGGACAGGCCAGUGCCUAAGAAAAGGGACACAGUCCCACCAUCAAGAUAUACAGAUUCAGAUUAAACUGAUGCUGAGAACACACUGGUGGAAAUUUCUUCUGGAUUGAAUGUAUUUGUUGACAGACUGGCUUGGGCUGUGGCUCAGAAUGCAAACUCUGCCUCCAGUUUUGUGAGAACACUCCUGACAGCCGUGUUUCCAAUUGAUGUGCUCCUUGUCAGCAAUCUUCGAGGAACAUCUAGGGAUUCUUGGCCACAACACCAGGCUCCUGACAAAAUAAAAGUAGAUGCCAUCAACAGAGCAAUAUUGCAAAAGUGGCCUUAUGUGGUGCCCUCCAGCAUUGGUGCAGCCAUCAAUGUCAAACUUACGGAAAUUAGAGGGAAAAAGAAAACUAAAAAAGAUUCUGAAACCUUAAUGCUCUUUGAUGACUGAUGGCCACGACUGUGUGUUUGAUGUAUUCUGAUGUUAAAUGUUCUGUUUUUCCUGAGCAAAGAGUUCAGUUCAUAAGUUGUAAUUCAAAAUUACUUAUGUGGAGUAUAAUUUGAUUGUGUCACAUUAAUUGUGUUAAAAAUUGUGUUUCCAUCGCAAAUUUGUUUGUAAUUGACUAAAAUCAUAUAUGAUCGGUAUAUUGUAAAACUGACUGAAAUCAUGUCUAAAAACAUGUAAACAAAUUACACAAAAUGUGAAUAAAUCCUGUAUGACUUUAA
This is a long non-coding RNA of Tachysurus fulvidraco (yellow catfish), 1199 nucleotides long. RefSeq lists it as uncharacterized. The record is from RefSeq and is a predicted model, not a curated record. NCBI's taxonomy places the organism in Eukaryota, Metazoa, Chordata, Actinopteri, Siluriformes, Bagridae. The transcript is spliced from 5 exons.